This 253-nucleotide ribosomal RNA is filed under the name uncultured bacterium. RNAcentral describes it as "partial 16S ribosomal RNA". It matches the Rfam family "Bacterial small subunit ribosomal RNA", at positions 524 to 776 of the family's 1533-position model. The record is from RNAcentral.
UACAGAGGUCCCAAGCGUUGUUCGGAUUCAUUGGGCGUAAAGGGUGCGUAGGUGGCGCUGUAAGUCGGGUGUGAAAUCUCGGAGCUUAACUCCGAAACUGCAUUCGAUACUGCCGUGCUUGAGGACUGGAGAGGAGACUGGAAUUUACGGUGUAGCGGUGAAAUGCGUAGAUAUCAGGAGGAAUACCGAUGGCGAAGGCAGGUCUCUGGGCUGACACUGACGCUCAUGCACGAAAGCGUGGGGAGCAAACAGG